UGGGUCGUGCAGGUCUCGAACCUGCGACACCCGGAUUAAGAGUCCGGUGCUCUACCAUCUGAGCUAACGACCC
RNAcentral lists this transfer RNA (73 nucleotides) under Candidatus Hakubella thermalkaliphila. RNAcentral's name for it is "Candidatus Hakubanella thermoalkaliphilus tRNA-Lys". The record is from RNAcentral. Lineage: Bacteria; Bacillati; Actinomycetota; Candidatus Hakubellales; Candidatus Hakubellaceae.